GACGAACGCUGGCGGCGUGCCUAAUACAUGAAAGUAGAACGCAGUUGCGAACGGGUGAGUAACGCGUAGGUAACUGCCUCAUAGCGGGGGAUAACCAUUGGAAACGAUAGUUAAUACCGCAUACUGUGAGAUGGAACUGCGUUUUAUUAGAUAGUUGGUGAGGUAAAGGCUCACCAAGGCGACGAUACAUCGCCGACCUGAGAGGGUGCUCAGCCACACUGGGACUGCGACACGGCCCAGACUCCUGCUGGAGGCAGCAGUAGGAAAUCUUCAGCAAUCGGCGGAAUUGUGACCGGGCCACGCCGCGUGGGUGCUGAGGGUUUUCGGGUCCUAAAGCUCUCCUGGUAGAGUAUCGGUAACUGACCAGUAAGUGACGGCUAACUACGUGCCAGCCGCCGCGGUAAUAC
This 407-nucleotide ribosomal RNA is filed under the name uncultured bacterium. RNAcentral's name for it is "partial 16S ribosomal RNA". It matches the Rfam family "Bacterial small subunit ribosomal RNA", at positions 28 to 526 of the family's 1533-position model. The record is from RNAcentral.